CACGUAGGCGGAUUGCUAAGUCGGGGGUGAAAUCCUGGAGCUUAACUCCAGAACUGCCCUCGAUACUGGCGACCUUGAGUCCGGGAGAGGUGAGUGGAACUGCGAGUGUAGAGGUGAAAUUCGUAGAUAUUCGCAAGAACACCAGUGGCGAAGGCGGCUCACUGGCCCGGUACUGACGCUGAUGUGCGAAAGCGUGGGGAGCAAACAGGAUUAGAUACCCUGGUAGUCCACGCUGUAAACGAUGGAUGCUAGCCGUUGGCGAGCUUGCUCGUCAGUGGCGCAGCUAACGCUUUAAGCAUCCCGCCUGGGGAGUACGGUCGCAAGAUUAAA
This 330-nucleotide ribosomal RNA is filed under the name uncultured bacterium. RNAcentral's name for it is "bacterial SSU rRNA". It matches the Rfam family "Bacterial small subunit ribosomal RNA", at positions 568 to 898 of the family's 1533-position model. The record is from RNAcentral.